GGCAGCGGCUCAACGGCCCCCUCCUCCACCCACAGCCCACACGGGGAGCUGGUGCGAGCAGCAGCUGUGUGCCUGUGACAAGGAGGUGGCCUUCUGCCUGAAGAGCAACCUCGACUCCUACAACAAGCUCCUGCGUUUCUACUGGCGGUCCCGCUGCCAGGACCCCACUCCUUCAUGCUAGAAGCCCAACUCGCUUCCCCUGCCAUCCUUCCCCAUCUCAGGGCAUUGCCGUGGUCCCGCCCUGGCAUCUAACCAGCUGGAUUUUAAAACAGUCCAGGGGGAAGGGCCCCUCGCCCUUGCUGGGCCCGACCUCUGGACUCUCCCACCCAAGGCAGUGCCGGCUCCCCUGAGGGUGGGCGGAGGCCAGGGAGCACCCAGGACCAUGAGGUUGGGCCAAAGCAGUCAGGGGAGGGGUGCUGGGGGGUCGAGGCAGCUGUGUGGGCCUGGCUCCCUGCCACUGCCACCCCUGCUGGUCCCUCUCACCUACCCCAAGCCACAGCCUGAGUGGCUGCUGUAAAGCGCAAUGUUGAUCAUCCUGUCCGAGUGACUCUUGAAACCCCCAGGUCCUCCACGGCCCCAGCAUAGAGCCCCUCAGAGCCCGGCCGUCAGGCCCCAUGUCCCUCUUCCCAACUGGGCCCCAGAGAGUCCAGCCCCUCUCCCCAAGCUGCACCCCAGAGCAGCCUCAGAACAGAGCAGGCCUCCACAAACUCUGAGGACAGGGUGGGAGGAGGCCAUGAUGGGAGGAGGCCGCGGCUCUUGUAGCCCCAGGCUCCCUCCUGGAAGCCUGCUGCUUCCUGCCUCUGGCACUUGCUCAGGGUCCUCCUGCAGAAAUGGCCCUGUGGCCCCCUCCUCCUGGAUGGCCUCCCUGGGCCUCUCAGGGAGAAAGGGCUGCUUCCUAGGAGAGUCUUCCUGGCUCAUCUCUCCUCCCUCCAGGGCUCACGGGCACCUCCUGGCUCCCCUGGCCCUGGCUGGGGCUUCCCAUGAGGGGUGAAUGGGACUCCUCCCCGUCCCCAGCCAGACAGGCGCACCUCAAGGACACAGACCACGUCCGCCUCAUCUGUGUUUCCUCGGCUUCCCACGGGCUCCGUGCUCAGUUACUGUUGGGGAUCAGAUGAGCUAAUCAUGAACACUCUGGAGAGGGGCUGGAGAGGAUGUUGGUGUCCCAUCCAGAUCCCUCCCGGACUCAGGACUCCACUCCCAACCAAGCCAGGUAUUGGCUGCAAAGCCCCCACAUCUGCCCUCCUUCUCUUCUUUUCUGGGAGUUUCCUGGCCCUGCACCCCCCCACCCCACACACACCCAAGGAGGCCACCUGUGACUGACCAAAGUUCAACACCCUGGAGGGCACAGCUGCCUGGCCCCCCUGCCUCCAUGCAGGACCAUCUGGGUCAGUGCCCAGAGUUCCUCGGGGGAUCAGGGUGGUAGGAAGCCCCAGAGACUUCUGGAACCACCUCUCCUCCCUGCCUCUUCUGCUGGCCUGGCCUGUUCUCCUGGUUCUCUGCAGCUUUCUCCAGAGACAGCCCUCGGUGAGAAACUUACACAGGAUCCUCAUCUGGGCUCUGCUUCUGGGGAAACACACAUUUAGGCAGAUGGCUUUUUCUUAUAAGGAUCCACAAUCCGUCCUUCGUAUAUGAUGAGCUGUGUGUCCAGCCACGGGGCCAGCUGAGGCACCUGGGGCUCCCCACACUGUGGCCUGUGUCACACACUCGGGCAAUGACCUAUGGUACAGGUUUCCCGAAACUCAGUAGGUCGAGCGAGGCAGUGUGAGAGGAAUUAAAAACUAUAGGCUCUGGGUCCAAAUUAUCAUUCUACGCCCACUCCUGUGAGGGACAGUGAUGGUAGAGGGGACAGGAGGUUGCUAAAUCUCCAUUCUUUCCCACCCAAAUUUGCUGUGAACCCCCCCAAAAAAUCUAUUUUAAAACAUUCCAGUGCUGUCUCUGACUAUCCAUGUGC
This 1951-nucleotide long non-coding RNA is filed under the name Marmota monax (woodchuck). Lineage: Eukaryota; Metazoa; Chordata; Mammalia; Rodentia; Sciuridae. The record is from RNAcentral.